Molecule: small nucleolar RNA, 132 nt
Organism: Mus caroli (Ryukyu mouse)
Lineage: Eukaryota; Metazoa; Chordata; Mammalia; Rodentia; Muridae
Product: small nucleolar RNA SNORA17
Source: RefSeq, a predicted model, not a curated record
CCUACCCCUAGUGGCUUUGCAGGUGUGGCUGCUGUAUCACAUAGGUGUCAAUAGGCAGCAAGUACUAGAGCGGCUAUGUCAACAUUCAGUGUUCUGACCCGUGAGCAUCUGAAUGAUGAGUAGUCUAACAUU